CCUACGGGAGGCAGCAGUGGGGAAUAUUGGGCAAUGGGCGAAAGCCUGACCCAGCAACGCCGCGUGAAUGAAGAAGGCUUUCGUGUUGUAAACUUCUUUUGACAGGGAAGAGCAGAAGGCUAUACCAGUCGGAUAAGCCACGGCUAACGACGUGCCAGCAGCCGAGGUAAUACGUAGGUGGCAAGCGUUUUCCGGUUUGACUGUGUGGAAAGGGCGUGGAGAGGGGUUGAAAAGUCUGAUGAUAAACCCGGGGGCUCACCCCGCGAACUGCAUGUGAAACUGUUGGUCUUGAGUAGCGGAGAGGCAGGCGGAAUUCCUAGUGUAGCGGUGAAAUGCGUAGAUAUUAGGAGGAACACCAGUGGCGAAGGCGGCCUACUGGACGACAACUGACGGUGAGGCGCGAAAGCGUGGGGAGCAAACAGGAUUAGAUACCCGUGUAGUC
Molecule: ribosomal RNA, 442 nt
Filed under: uncultured bacterium
Lineage: Bacteria
Description: partial 16S ribosomal RNA
Rfam family: Bacterial small subunit ribosomal RNA
Source: RNAcentral